GGGGAACUGACAAGAAAGCUGGAGAGGGACAUUCAUUAGGGAGUGCAGCGAUAGGAGAAGGGCUAAAAGCUUUGUACCAAAAGAGGGUAGGUUUAAAUUAGAUAUAAAUAAGAAAUUCUUUACACAGAACAUGGUGAGGCCCUGGUACAGCUGCUCAGAGAAGCUGUGGUGCCCCAUCCCUGGAGGUGCUCAAGGCCACGUUGGAUGGGGCCCUGGGCAGCCUGAGCUUGGGAUGGGGCAGCCCUGCCCAUGGCCAGGGGGUUGGACUAGAUGAUUUUUAAGGGCCUUUUCAACCCAAACCAUUCUGAUUCUUUGAUGAAAAGGCUACCCGAAUUCAGGAAAACACUUUCAUCCAGCAAACUUUAUUGUUUUAGUAAUUUACCCCUGAAGACUUACUUUUGAAGAGAUGGGCUUGGGCCUUCUUAACAUCCUCUUUAAAUCUUUGCACAUGCUCCAACCUGCCCCUAUGUGGUGCUGGACAUGGACACAGCCAAGUCCUACAAAUACGGCCAGAGGAGCAAGUGGCACGAUGGCUGAAAUGAGACAGGAGAAGAAAGAUUACAUCAUACACACUUAUUUCAGGGGUGACAAUAUGACUGCCUUAUUUUCUGCAAGGAACGUGUAACACAAGAUGACAUUUGCUUUUCAGGUAGGUGGGUGGCUUCUACCUCUGCAUGCACAAUACACAGAAAAGGCUCUGGUCACACACAGAGAGACACAGAGCUGAGUUAAAACCUUGGCACAAAUCACUCUGUGGCAGAAGCACCCCAAUAAGCAGACCCUUCCCCAAGAGGCGUGAGAAGGCUGUGAAUCAGAACAUGAUGUGUUUCACCACAUGAGAUAUUAGCCCAGAAGAUAGCCAGGGGUAAAUCUGUUAUUGCUGGGUGGACUUAAUGGCUCCUUACAAUCGAAUUGUGUAUUCACAACCUUUAUGGAAACUGGAACAACUUGAGCUGCUGUGGGUUAACCCAUUUGUGUACCCGUGGCCUCAGCCUUAAGCAAACACCUACUUUUAUUUCCACAGCAGUUACAUGACACAAAUCUGAGAUGCUUCUCAGGAGAGAGCCAGCCCAGUUUCUUGGCCCCUAAAGCUCAGAGCAAUUUAACUGAGCACAGGAGACUUCAAGUGCGCACACAUCACAGACCUUCACUUCCCACGUCUCAGGAUCAAAUGACAACUCGUAUCUUGCACCUUUAGAGGACUUGUCCUCCAAGCACUUUUCAGCCAGAUACAGAGUAUUCCCUGCAGAAUCUCUUCAUUGGAAGGAAGCUGAGACGUAUAGGCAGGGAGGGAGGUGUGACCUGCUCCCAGAGCUGAAGAGUUUGCUGACCCUACAGAUGUGUGCAUCCAGGCUGCACCCACUGGGACUGUGACAGCUGCAAAGACACAACUUCUCGGCACUGACACGGGUAGAGGAACAAGCUCUGGGCUGUGACUGUCCACCAGUACCAGACACCAAGAGACAUCCGGUCCAGGAGGCUGAU
This 1485-nucleotide long non-coding RNA is filed under the name Numida meleagris (helmeted guineafowl). Its description in RNAcentral is "lncRNA (ENSNMEG00000014744.1)". Lineage: Eukaryota; Metazoa; Chordata; Aves; Galliformes; Numididae. The record is from RNAcentral.